AACGAUAAAGGCAAACUUGCCGAAAGGCAGGGACGCAAAGCUAAAGGGCCUGUGAAAUGGCAGCCAGCCACCGAAA
This is a regulatory RNA element of Desulfosporosinus sp. I2, 76 nucleotides long. It matches the Rfam family "c-di-GMP-I-GGC riboswitch aptamer". The record is from Rfam. NCBI's taxonomy places the organism in Bacteria, Bacillati, Bacillota, Clostridia, Eubacteriales, Desulfitobacteriaceae.